RNAcentral lists this ribosomal RNA (516 nucleotides) under uncultured bacterium. RNAcentral's name for it is "partial 16S ribosomal RNA". It matches the Rfam family "Bacterial small subunit ribosomal RNA", at positions 28 to 523 of the family's 1533-position model. The record is from RNAcentral.
GACGAACGCUGGCGGCGUGCCUAAUACAUGCAAGUCGAGCGGACGAUUGAAGAGCUUGCUCUUCAAUCGUUAGCGGCGGACGGGUGAGUAACACGUGGGCAACCUGCCUUAACGACUGGGAUAACUCCGGGAAACCGGGGCUAAUACCGGAUAACAUCUAGCACCUCCUGGUGCCAGAUUAAAGGAGGGCCUUUGGCUCUCACGUUAAGAUGGGCCCGCGGCGCAUUAGCUAGUUGGAGAGGUAACGGCUCCCCAAGGCGACGAUGCGUAGCCGACCUGAGAGGGUGAUCGGCCACACUGGGACUGAGACACGGCCCAGACUCCUACGGGAGGUAACAGUAGGGAAGCUUCCGCAAUGGACGAAAGUCUGACGGAGCAACGCCGCGUGAGUGAUGAAGGUUUUCGGAUCGUAAAGCUCUGUUGUUUGAGACGAAUGUGCCUGUUUCGAAUAGGGAUAGGUAAUGACGGUAUUAAACGAGAAAGCCACGGCUAACUACGUGCCAGCCGCCGCCGUAA